UCCCUGGUGGUCCAGUGGUUAGGACUCUGCACUUUCACUGCAGAGGGCAUGAGUUUGAUCCCUGGUCUGGGAA
This 73-nucleotide transfer RNA is filed under the name Bos taurus (domestic cattle). It matches the Rfam family "tRNA". From Rfam's summary of the family: Transfer RNA (tRNA) molecules are approximately 80 nucleotides in length. Their secondary structure includes four short double-helical elements and three loops (D, anti-codon, and T loops). RNAcentral also lists the same sequence under 5 other names. The record is from Rfam by way of RNAcentral. Lineage: Eukaryota; Metazoa; Chordata; Mammalia; Artiodactyla; Bovidae.